RNAcentral lists this ribosomal RNA (257 nucleotides) under uncultured soil bacterium. Its description in RNAcentral is "partial 16S ribosomal RNA". It matches the Rfam family "Bacterial small subunit ribosomal RNA", at positions 26 to 284 of the family's 1533-position model. The record is from RNAcentral.
AGGACGAACGCUGGCGGCGUGCCUAACACAUGCAAGUCGAACGGGACCAGGGGCAACUCUGGUUCAGUGGCGGACGGGUGCGUAACACGUGAGGAACAUGACCUUCGGCGGGGGAUAGCCGGCCCAACGGCCGGGUAAUACCGCGUACGACCACAUGGGGACAUCCCUGAGUGGUGAAAGCAGCAAUGCGCCGAUGGAGUGCCUCGCGGCCUAUCAGCUAGUUGGUGAGGUAACGGCUCACCAAGGCAACGACGGGU